CAGGUCAGCAUACUGCCGUGAAUACGUUCCCGGGCCUUGUACACACCGCCCGUCACACCAUGAGAGUUGGGAAUACCCGAAGCCUGUGAGCUAACGUUAAGAGGCAGCAGUCGAAGGUAGAAUCAAUGAUUGGGGUGAAGUCGUAACAAGGUAGC
This 155-nucleotide ribosomal RNA is filed under the name uncultured bacterium. Its description in RNAcentral is "partial 16S ribosomal RNA". It matches the Rfam family "Bacterial small subunit ribosomal RNA", at positions 1345 to 1500 of the family's 1533-position model. The record is from RNAcentral.